AUUGAACGCUGGCGGCAUGCCUUACACAUGCAAGUCGAACGGUAACAGGUCUUCGGAUGCUGACGAGUGGCGAACGGGUGAGUAAUACAUCGGAACGUGCCUAGUAGUGGGGGGUAACUACUCGAAAGAGUGGCUAAUACCGCAUGAGAUCUACGGAUGAAAGCAGGGGAUCGCAAGACCUUGUGCUACUAGAGCGGCCGAUGGCAGAUUAGGUAGUUGGUGGGAUGGAAGCUUACCAAGCCGACGAUCUGUAGCUGGUCUGAGAGGACGAUCAGCCACACUGGGACUGAGACACGGCCCAGACUCCUACGGGAGGCAGCAGUGGGGAAUUUUGGACAAUGGGCGAAAGCCUGAUCCAGCCAUUCCGCGUGCAGGAUGAAGGCCCUCGGGUUGUAAACUGCUUUUGUACAGAACGAAAAGGUUUCUACUAAUACUAGGAGCUCAUGACGGUACUGUAAGAAUAAGCACCGGCUAACUACGUGCCAGCAGCCGCAGUAA
RNAcentral lists this ribosomal RNA (498 nucleotides) under uncultured bacterium. RNAcentral's name for it is "partial 16S ribosomal RNA". It matches the Rfam family "Bacterial small subunit ribosomal RNA", at positions 30 to 523 of the family's 1533-position model. The record is from RNAcentral.